This 685-nucleotide long non-coding RNA is filed under the name Rattus norvegicus (Norway rat). Its description in RNAcentral is "long non-coding RNA NONRATT030414". Lineage: Eukaryota; Metazoa; Chordata; Mammalia; Rodentia; Muridae. The record is from RNAcentral.
ACUAUGUUUAGGUAUGGCCGUGAAUUCCUGAUCUUUACAAGACUUUUAACACGAAGGGGUCUUGAAUUUUGUCAAAUGCUUUCUCAGCUCUAAUGAGAUGAUCAUGUGUUUUUUCCUUUGAGCUUGUUUAAAUAGUGGAUUACAUUGACAGAUUUCUGUAUAUUGAAACAUCCCUGCAUCCCUGGGAUUAAGCCUGCUUAAGCAUGACGGAUGGUCAUUUUGAUAUGUUCUUGGAUUUGCCUUGCUGGAAUUUUAUUAUUCUUGCAUCGAUAUUCAUAAGUUUUCCAUCCUGUCUCAUACACAUCCAAUACAGACAAUGUCUUAUGAAGAUCCUAGUAUUGAAAACAAGUUAAAAAUGUAGAAGGAAAUUUGGGAAUCAAAAUUGUCUAAAAGACCAAAAAACCUGUUUGUAUAGUGAAUAUUUGCAUGGAGAAACUAUUUCAUUUUAAAAUUUUAAGAAAAAUUUAACUGUGUAUACUUUAUCUUACAAUAAGCUAUUAUAAAAUAUAUAGAUAUAGAAAUAAUAAAAUAGUUAUUAUAGUGAAUGAAGGUCACUCAUGUCAUAUGUAGUUGAUUUGUUUUCUUGUAAGAGCAAUUAAGGACUGUUCAAUAAAAAAUAUUUAGUAUUGUUAUUGACUGUAGUUCUCAUGUGAUAACAUUAAAUCUCUAGACUUCCUUAUCUCAU